Molecule: non-coding RNA, 1174 nt
Organism: Paramuricea clavata
Lineage: Eukaryota; Metazoa; Cnidaria; Anthozoa; Malacalcyonacea; Plexauridae
Source: the annotation of a GenBank genome assembly
CCCGGCUCCUCUUCAGUUGAUGCCUUAAUUAGCUUACUCCACUCCCUAUACGCUGACUCAGAUGGAAAUGGUAAAACUGUGCGUUUAUUCCUACUGGACUUCAGCAAGGCUUUCGAUCGGAUUAACUAUAAGAUACUAAUCACAAAGAUGCGCAAAUUGGAUAUAAACCCAUCCGUUAUCAAUUGGGUAAUUGACUUUUUGUCCGGAAGGAGACAGCGGAUUAAAAUGGGUAACGUAUUUUCAGAUUGGUCUGCAGUAAACGGUGGGGUACCCCAAGGAACAGUGCUCGGUCCUAUACUCUUCUUAAUUAUGAUAAAUGACUUGGUUACUGAGCAUGAUCGAAGGUGGAAAUUUGUGGAUGAUACAAGUGUCUCUGAAGUUAUUAAUAAAGGUGAGCAAGGGAAGAUGCAAUCCCUUGUUAAUGCGAUAAACAGCUGGUGUAUAAAGAAUGACAUGAAACUUAAUCAAUCUAAGUGCAAAGAUAUGAUCAUCUCGUUUGCGAAAGAUCCUCCAAAACUGGACCCAAUCUUCGUAAACAAUCACAAACUAGUUCCUGUAUCUUCAGCAAAAAUCCUAGGCACUUAUAUUUCCACAGACUUGAAAUGGAACACACACAUAAACUAUAUUGUAUCCAAGGCUUCUAAGCGCCUAUAUUUUUUACGCAUAUUAAAACGGGCUGGACUUGAUCAUACAUCCCUUUUAACCGUCUAUACUACCUGCAUAAGAUCAGUCCUCGAAUACGGUUGCCAAUUAUGGAACUUUGGUGCUUCCCAAUACCUUUCUGAUGACGUCGAGCGGGUCCAAAAGCGAGCACUAAGAAUAAUUUAUCCUGAUCUAUCUUACAGGAAGGCCUUGGAGGUUAUUCCGCUUCCAAAUCUUUCACAAAGACGAGAUGAACUUUGCAGAUCACACUUUAAAAGAAUAACUAAACCAAGUCAUAAAUUGUACAAUCUUCUCCCUGACAAACGUACUAACAAUCUUAGAAAUAACGACAAUUUUACACACAUUUGGUCUUGUACCAACCGUUUUAAAAAUAGUUAUAUACCAAGUAGUGUAGUAUCUUUUAAUACCUAUACGUCUUAAUAAACUAUAUAAUAUAUAAUCAUAUCUUAAUUAUUAGUCUUUAACUUGUAAUUUUAUAAACUGUAUUUUUAGAACAUUAUGUAAACCGAGC